AUUGAACGCUGGCGGAAUGCUUUACACAUGCAAGUCGAACGGCAGCACGGGGGCAACCCUGGUGGCGAGUGGCGAACGGGUGAGUAAUACAUCGGAACGUGCCCAGUCGUGGGGGAUAACGUAGCGAAAGCUACGCUAAUACCGCAUACGAUCUCUGGAUGAAAGCGGGGGACCGCAAGGCCUCGCGCGAUUGGAGCGGCCGAUGGCAGAUUAGGUAGUUGGUGGGGUAAAGGCUCACCAAGCCGACGAUCUGUAGCUGGUCUGAGAGGACGACCAGCCACACUGGGACUGAGACACGGCCCAGACUCUUACGGGAGGCAGCAGUGGGGAAUUUUGGACAAUGGGCGAAAGCCUGAUCCAGCCAUUCCGCGUGCAGGAUGAAGGCCCUCGGGUUGUAAACUGCUUUUGUACGGAACGAAACGGUCCUGGUUAAUACCUGGGGCUAAUGACGGUACCGUAAGAAUAAGCACCGGCUAACUACGUGCCAGCAGCCGCGGUAAU
Molecule: ribosomal RNA, 501 nt
Filed under: uncultured bacterium
Lineage: Bacteria
Description: bacterial SSU rRNA
Rfam family: Bacterial small subunit ribosomal RNA
Source: RNAcentral